GUGCCAGCAGCCGCGGUAAUACGGAAGGUCCUGGUGUUAUCCGGAUUUAUUGGGUUUAAAGGGAGCGUAGGCGNCCGAUUAAGCGUGCUGUGAAAUGGCGGGGCCCAACCCCGUCCCUGCAGCGCGAACUGGUUGGCUUGGGUACACGCAAGGCAGGCGGAAUUUGUGGUGUAGCGGUGAAAUGCUUAGAUAUCACGAAGAACCCCGAUUGCGAAGGCAGCUUGCGGAGUGUUACCGACGCUGAAGCUCGAAGGUGCGGGUAUCGAACAGGAUUAGAUACCCUGGUAGUCCGCACGGUAAACGAUGGAUGCUCGCCGUCUGCGAUACAAUGCAGGUGGCCAAGCGAAAGCAUUAAGCAUCCCACCUGGGGAGUACGCCGGCAACGGUGAAACUCAAAGGAAUUGACGGGGGCCCGCACAAGCGGAGGAACAUGUGGUUUAAUUCGAUGAUACGCGAGGAACCUUACCCGGGCUUGAAUUGCAGAGGAAAGAAUCCAGAGAUGGUGAUGCACUUCGGGGUCUCUGUGAAGGUGCUGCAUGGUUGUCGUCAGCUCGUGCCGUGAGGUGUCGGCUUAAGUGCCAUAACGAGCGCAACCCUUGCCGUCAGUUGCCAUCGGGUAAUGCCGGGCACUCUGUCGGGACUGCCACCGCAAGGUGUGAGGAAGGUGGGGAUGACGUCAAAUCAGCACGGCCCUUACGUCCGGGGCUACACACGUGUUACAAUGGGUGGUACAGAAGGCUGCCUUGCGCAAGCAGUGGCUAAUCCCAAAAUCCAUCCUCAGUUCGGAUUGGGUCUGCAACCCGACCCCAUGAAGCUGGAUUCGCUAGUAAUCGCGCAUCAGCCAUGGCGCGGUGAAUACGUUCCCGGGCCUUGCACACACCGCCCGU
This 887-nucleotide ribosomal RNA is filed under the name uncultured bacterium. Its description in RNAcentral is "bacterial SSU rRNA". It matches the Rfam family "Bacterial small subunit ribosomal RNA", at positions 505 to 1397 of the family's 1533-position model. The record is from RNAcentral.